Molecule: ribosomal RNA, 406 nt
Filed under: uncultured bacterium
Lineage: Bacteria
Description: partial 16S ribosomal RNA
Rfam family: Bacterial small subunit ribosomal RNA
Source: RNAcentral
AUUGAACGCUGGCGGCAGGCCUAACACAUGCAAGUCGAACGAGUGGCGGACGGGUGAGUAAUGUCUGGGAAACUGCCCGAUGGAGGGGGAUAACUACUGGAAACGGUAGCUAAUACCGCAUACCAUCGGAUGUGCCCAGAUGGGAUUAGCUAGUCGGUGGGGGAAUGGCUCACCUAGGCGACGAUCCCUAGCUGGGCUGAGAGGAUGACCAGCCACACGGGAACUGAGACACGGUCCAGACUACUACGUGAGGCAGCAUUGGGGAAUCUUGCACAAUGGGCGCAAGCCUGAUACAGCCAUGCCGCGUGAAUGAAGAAGGCCUUCGGGUUGUAAAGUACUGUCAGCGAGGAGGCGUUACUCGCAGAAGAAGCACCGGCUAACUCCGUGCCAGCCGCCGCGGUAAUUC